CCCUUAGAUGUUCUGGGCCGCACGCGCGCUACACUGACGAAUGCAACGAGCUUAUAACCUUGGCCGAAAGGUCUGGGUAAUCUCCAAAUUUCGUCGUGAUGGGGAUAGAUUAUUGCAAUUAUUAAUCUUCAACGAGGAAUGCCUAGUAAGCGCAAGUCAUCAGCUUGCGUUGAUUACGUCCCUGCCCUUUGUAUACACCGCCCGUCGCUCCUACCGAUUGAAUGGUCCGGUGAAGCGUUCGGACCGUGGCCUUUGGACGGUUCGCCGUCUGUUGGCUGCGGGAAGUUCGUUAAACCUUAUCAUUUAGAGGAAGGAGAAGUCGUAACA
RNAcentral lists this ribosomal RNA (327 nucleotides) under uncultured eukaryote. RNAcentral's name for it is "partial 18S ribosomal RNA". It matches the Rfam family "Eukaryotic small subunit ribosomal RNA", at positions 1470 to 1796 of the family's 1831-position model. The record is from RNAcentral.